RNAcentral lists this small nuclear RNA (107 nucleotides) under Salvator merianae (Argentine black and white tegu). The record is from RNAcentral. Lineage: Eukaryota; Metazoa; Chordata; Lepidosauria; Squamata; Teiidae.
GUGCUUGUUUCAGCAGAACAUAUACUAAAAUUGAAAUGAUACAGAGAAGAUUAGCAUAGCCCCUGCAUAAGGAUAGCAUGAAAAUUUGUGAAGCAUUCUAUAAAAAA